UCCUGACUGACCGAUAGUGAACCAGUACCGUGAGGGAAAGGCGAAAAGAACCCCGGCGAGGGGAGUGAAAAAGAACCUGAAACCGUGUACGUACAAGCAGUGGGAGCACGCUUAGGCGUGUGACUGCGUACCUUUUGUAUAAUGGGUCAGCGACUUAUAUUCUGUAGCAAGGUUAACCGAAUAGGGGAGCCGAAGGGAAACCGAGUCUUAACUGGGCGUUAAGUUGCAGGGUAUAGACCCGAAACCCGGUGAUCUAGCCAUGGGCAGGUUGAAGGUUGGGUAACACUAACUGGAGGACCGAACCGACUAAUGUUGAAAAAUUAGCGGAUGACUUGUGGCUGGGGGUGAAAGGCCAAUCAAACCGGGAGAUAGCUGGUUCUCCCCGAAAGCUAUUUAGGUAGCGCCUCGUGAAUUCAUCUCCGGGGGUAGAGCACUGUUUCGGCAAGGGGGUCAUCCCGACUUACCAACCCGAUGCAAACUGCGAAUACCGGAGAAUGUUAUCACGGGAGACACACGGCGGGUGCUAACGUCCGUCGUGAAGAGGGAAACAACCCAGACCGCCAGCUAAGGUCCCAAAGUCAUGGUUAAGUGGGAAACGAUGUGGGAAGGCCCAGACAGCCAGGAUGUUGGCUUAGAAGCAGCCAUCAUUUAAAGAAAGCGUAAUAGCUCACUGGUCGAGUCGGCCUGCGCGGAAGAUGUAACGGGGCUAAACCAUGCACCGAAGCUGCGGCAGCGACGCUUAUGCGUUGUUGGGUAGGGGAGCGUUCUGUAAGCCUGCGAAGGUGUGCUGUGAGGCAUGCUGGAGGUAUCAGAAGUGCGAAUGCUGACAUAAGUAACGAUAAAGCGGGUGAAAAGCCCGCUCGCCGGAAGACCAAGGGUUCCUGUCCAACGUUAAUCGGGGCAGGGUGAGUCGACCCCU
This 919-nucleotide ribosomal RNA is filed under the name Shigella sonnei. Its description in RNAcentral is "partial 23S ribosomal RNA". It matches the Rfam family "Bacterial large subunit ribosomal RNA", at positions 474 to 1392 of the family's 2925-position model. The record is from RNAcentral. Lineage: Bacteria; Pseudomonadati; Pseudomonadota; Gammaproteobacteria; Enterobacterales; Enterobacteriaceae.